RNAcentral lists this ribosomal RNA (1491 nucleotides) under metagenome. Its description in RNAcentral is "bacterial SSU rRNA". It matches the Rfam family "Bacterial small subunit ribosomal RNA". The record is from RNAcentral.
AGAGUUUGAUCCUGGCUCAGAUUGAACGCUGGCGGCAUGCCUUACACAUGCAAGUCGAACGGCAGCACGAGAGCUUGCUCUUGGUGGCGAGUGGCGAACGGGUGAGUAAUAUAUCGGAACGUACCCUAGAGUGGGGGAUAGCGCAGCGAAAGUUGCGCUAAUACCGCAUACGAUCUACGGAUGAAAGUGGGGGAUCGCAAGACCUCAUGCUCAUGGAGCGGCCGAUAUCUGAUUAGCUAGUUGGUAGGGUAAAAGCCUACCAAGGCUUCGAUCAGUAGCUGGUCUGAGAGGACGACCAGCCACACUGGAACUGAGACACGGUCCAGACUCCUACGGGAGGCAGCAGUGGGGAAUUUUGGACAAUGGGCGCAAGCCUGAUCCAGCAAUGCCGCGUGAGUGAAGAAGGCCUUCGGGUUGUAAAGCUCUUUUGUCAGGGAAGAAACGGUGGACUCUAAUACAGAUCACUAAUGACGGUACCUGAAGAAUAAGCACCGGCUAACUACGUGCCAGCAGCCGCGGUAAUACGUAGGGUGCAAGCGUUAAUCGGAAUUACUGGGCGUAAAGCGUGCGCAGGCGGUUGUGCAAGACAGAUGUGAAAUCCCCGGGCUCAACCUGGGAAUUGCAUUUGUGACUGCACGGCUAGAGUGUGUCAGAGGGGGGUAGAAUUCCACGUGUAGCAGUGAAAUGCGUAGAGAUGUGGAGGAAUACCGAUGGCGAAGGCAGCCCCCUGGGAUAACACUGACGCUCAUGCACGAAAGCGUGGGGAGCAAACAGGAUUAGAUACCCUGGUAGUCCACGCCCUAAACGAUGUCUACUAGUUGUUGGGUCUUAAUUGACUUAGUAACGCAGCUAAUGCGUGAAGUAGACCGCCUGGGGAGUACGGUCGCAAGAUUAAAACUCAAAGGAAUUGACGGGGACCCGCACAAGCGGUGGAUGAUGUGGAUUAAUUCGAUGCAACGCGAAAAACCUUACCUACCCUUGACAUGUACGGAAUCCCUGAGAGAUUAGGGAGUGCUCGAAAGAGAACCGUAACACAGGUGCUGCAUGGCUGUCGUCAGCUCGUGUCGUGAGAUGUUGGGUUAAGUCCCGCAACGAGCGCAACCCUUGUCAUUAGUUGCUACGAAAGGGCACUCUAAUGAGACUGCCGGUGACAAACCGGAGGAAGGUGGGGAUGACGUCAAGUCCUCAUGGCCCUUAUGGGUAGGGCUUCACACGUCAUACAAUGGUACAUACAGAGGGCCGCCAACCCGCGAGGGGGAGCUAAUCCCAGAAAGUGUAUCGUAGUCCGGAUUGUAGUCUGCAACUCGACUACAUGAAGUUGGAAUCGCUAGUAAUCGCGGAUCAGCAUGUCGCGGUGAAUACGUUCCCGGGUCUUGUACACAACGCCCGUCACACCAUGGGAGCGGGUUUCGCCAGAAGUAGGUAGCCUAACCGUAAGGAGGGCGCUUACCACGGUGGGAUUCGUGACUGGGGUGAAGUCGUAACAAGGUA